CGUAGGGUCCGAGCGUUGUCCGGAAUUAUUGGGCGUAAAGGGCUCGUAGGCGGUCCGUUACGUCGGGAGUGAAAACUCGGAGCUCAACUCCGAGCCUGCUUCCGAUACGGGCAGACUAGAGGUAGGCAGGGGAGAGCGGAACUCCUGGUGUAGCGGUGGAAUGCGCAGAUAUCAGGAAGAACACCGGUGGCGAAGGCGGCUCUCUGGGCCUUACCUGACGCUGAGGAGCGAAAGCGUGGGUAGCGAACAGGAUUAGAUACCCUGGUAGUCCACGCCGUAAACGUUGGGCGCUAGGUGUGGGGGACAUUCCACGUCCUCCGUGCCGCAGCUAACGCAUUAAGCGCCCCGCCUGGGGAGUACGGCCGCAAGGCUA
This 373-nucleotide ribosomal RNA is filed under the name uncultured organism. RNAcentral describes it as "bacterial SSU rRNA". It matches the Rfam family "Bacterial small subunit ribosomal RNA", at positions 526 to 896 of the family's 1533-position model. The record is from RNAcentral.